AGAGUUUGAUCAUGGCUCAGGAUGAUCGCUGGCGGUAUGCCUUAUACAUGCAAGUCGUACGAGAGUUUUUAACUCAAGUGGCGGACGGGUGAGUAACACGUAAGAAUGUACCUUUAGGAGGGGGACAACAACUGGAAACGGUUGCUAAUACCCCAUAUGCUUUCGAGUGAAAUGGAUUUCCGCCUAAAGAGCAGCUUGCGGCUGAUUAGCUUGUUGGUAGGGUAAUGGCCUACCAAGGCGACGAUCAGUAUCUGGUUUGAGAGGACGAUCAGACACACUGGAACUGAUACACGGUCCAGACUCCUACGGGAGGCAGCAGUAGGGAAUUUUCCGCAAUGGGCGAAAGCCUGACGGAGCAAUACCGCGUGAGGGAUGACUGCCUAUGGGUUGUAAACCUCUUUUUUCAGGGAGGAAUAAAUGACGUGUACCUGAAGAAUAAGCAUCGGCUAACUCCGUGCCAGCAGCCGCGGUAAGACGGAGGAUGCAAGUGUUAUCCGGAAUCACUGGGCGUAAAGCGUCUGUAGGUGGCUCGACAAGUCAACUGUUAAAUCUUGAAGCUCAACUUCGAAAUCGCAGUCGAAACUAUCGAACUAGAGUAUAGUAGAGGUAAAGGGAAUUUCCAGUGGAGCGGUGAAAUGCGUAGAGAUUGGAAAGAACACCGAUGGCGAAGGCACUUUACUGGGCUAUUACCGACACUCAGAGACGAAAGCUAGGGUAGCAAAUGGGAUUAGAUACCCCAGUAGUCCUAGCCGUAAACAAUGGAUACUAGGUGUUGAACAGAUCGACCUGUGCAGUACCAAAGCUAACGCGUUAAGUAUCCCGCCUGGGAAGUAUGCACGCAAGUGUGAAACUCAAAGGAAUUGACGGGGGCCC
This 873-nucleotide ribosomal RNA is filed under the name uncultured cyanobacterium. RNAcentral describes it as "bacterial SSU rRNA". It matches the Rfam family "Bacterial small subunit ribosomal RNA", at positions 8 to 922 of the family's 1533-position model. Lineage: Bacteria; Bacillati; Cyanobacteriota. The record is from RNAcentral.